RNAcentral lists this non-coding RNA (83 nucleotides) under Lysobacter enzymogenes. RNAcentral describes it as "sRNA-Xcc1". It matches the Rfam family "sRNA-Xcc1". Lineage: Bacteria; Pseudomonadati; Pseudomonadota; Gammaproteobacteria; Lysobacterales; Lysobacteraceae. The record is from Rfam by way of RNAcentral.
GUCGGGAGGGCGGCUAAUAAAACACCCGCAAGGGGAAUACGCCCGCCGUCUGUUUGCGGUUUCGAACCUCCCGACUUCCCGCC